UGAAAUCUGGCCGUUCUGCGGUCCGAGUUGUAAUUUGUAGAGGAUGCUUCGGGUGCGGCGCCGGUCUAAGUUCCUUGGAACGGGACGUCAUAGAGGGUGAGAAUCCCGUACGUGACCGGCGAUCAAGCCCGUGUGAAGCUCCUUCGACGAGUCGAGUUGUUUGGGAAUGCAGCUCUAAAUGGGUGGUAAAUUUCAUCUAAAGCUAAAUACCGGCCAGAGACCGAUAGCGCACAAGUAGAGUGAUCGAAAGAUGAAAAGCACUUUGGAAAGAGAGUUAAAAAGUACGUGAAAUUGUUGAAAGGGAAGCGCUUGCGACCAGACUUGCCCGUGGGCGAUCAGCCGUCCUUCUGGGCGGUGCACUCGCCCGCGGUCAGGCCAGCACCGGUUCAGGCGGCCGGAUAAAGGCCCCGGGAACGUGGCUCCCUCCGGGGAGUGUUAUAGCCCGGGGUGCAAUGCGGCCAGCCCGGACCGAGGACCGCGCUUCGGCUAGGAUGCUGGCGUAAUGGUCGCAAGCGACCCGUCUUGAAACACGGACCAAGGAGUCUAACAUCUAUGCGAGUGUUUGGGCGUCAAACCCAUGCGCGCAAUGAAAGUGAACGGAGGUGGGAACCCUCGAGGGUGCACCAUCGACCGAUCCUGAUGUCUUCGGAUGGAUUUGAGUACGAGCAUAGCUGUUGGGACCCGAAAGAUGGUGAACUAUGCCUGAAUAGGGUGAAGCCAGAGGAAACUCUGGUGGAGGCUCGCAGCGGUUCUGACGUGCAAAUCGAUCGUCAAAUUUGGGUAUAGGGGCGAAAGACUAAUCGAACCAUCU
This 811-nucleotide ribosomal RNA is filed under the name Umbilicaria torrefacta. RNAcentral's name for it is "LSU rRNA". It matches the Rfam family "Eukaryotic large subunit ribosomal RNA", at positions 116 to 945 of the family's 3401-position model. The record is from RNAcentral. Lineage: Eukaryota; Fungi; Ascomycota; Lecanoromycetes; Umbilicariales; Umbilicariaceae.